CUAAGACUGGAUAGGAGACAAGAAGGCAUCUUCUUGUUUUUAAAAGACCUAGCAAUAGGUAUGCUUAGGUAGGAGCUUGCGUCACAUUAGUUAGUUGGUGGGGUAAAGGCCUACCAAGACUAUGAUGUGUAGCCGGGCUGAGAGGUUGAACGGCCACAUUGGGACUGAGACACGGCCCAAACUCCUACGGGAGGCAGCAGUAGGGAAUUUUCGGCAAUGGAGGAAACUCUGACCGAGCAACGCCGCGUGAACGAUGAAGUAUUUCGGUACGUAAAGUUCCUUUAUUAGGGAAGAAUAAAUGAUGGAAAAAUCAUUCUGACGGUACCUAAUGAAUAAGCCCCGGCUAACUAUGUGCCAGCAGCCGCGGUAAUACAUAGGGGGCAAGCGUUAUCCGGAAUUAUUGGGCGUAAAGGGUGCGUAGGCGGUUAAAUAAGUUUGUGGUCUAAGUGCAAUGCUCAACAUUGUGAUGCUAUAAAAACUGUUUAGCUAGAGUAAGAUAGAGGCAAGUGGAAUUCCAUGUGUAGUGGUAAAAUGCGUAAAUAUAUGGAGGAACACCAGUAGCGAAGGCGGCUUGCUGGGUCUUUACUGACGCUGAGGCACGAAAGCGUGGGGAGCAAACAGGAUUAGAUACCCUGGUAGUCCACGCCGUAAACGAUGAGUACUAAACGUUGGGUAAAACCAGUGUUGAAGUUAACACAUUAAGUACUCCGCCUGAGUAGUACGUACGCAAGUAUGAAACUUAAAGGAAUUGACGGGACUCCGCACAAGCGGUGGAUCAUGUUGUUUAAUUCGAAGGUACCCGAAAAACCUCACCAGGUCUUGACAUGCUUCUGCAAAGCUGUAGAAACACAGUGGAGGUUAUCAGUUGCACAGGUGGCGCAUGGUUGUCGUCAGCUCGUGUCGUGAGAUGUUGGGUUAAGUCCCGCAACGAGCGCAACCCUUAUUGUUAGUUACCAGCACGUAAUGGUGGGGACUUUAGCAAGACUGCCGGUGAUAAAUUGGAGGAAGGUGGGGACGACGUCAAAUCAUCAUGCCCCUUAUGACCUGGGCUACAAACGUGAUACAAUGGCUGUUACAAAGGGUAGCUGAAGCGCAAGUUUUUGGCGAAUCUCAAAAAAACAGUCUCAGUUCGGAUUGAAGUCUGCAACUCGACUUCAUGAAGUUGGAAUCGCUAGUAAUCGCGAAUCAGCAUGUCGCGGUGAAUACGUUCUCGGGGUUUGUACACACCGCCCGUCA
RNAcentral lists this ribosomal RNA (1236 nucleotides) under 'Forsythia suspensa' little leaf phytoplasma. RNAcentral's name for it is "bacterial SSU rRNA". It matches the Rfam family "Bacterial small subunit ribosomal RNA", at positions 163 to 1399 of the family's 1533-position model. Lineage: Bacteria; Bacillati; Mycoplasmatota; Mollicutes; Acholeplasmatales; Acholeplasmataceae. The record is from RNAcentral.